AAUGACUCUACAGUGCAAUCUUCAAUAUCUAAAGCAGACAAGGCAACAAUGGUUUCAUCAGAUUUAAUUUAUAACUCUCCAGAAAAGUGUAGAUUGAGGCAAGAAAUAAAAUAUAUUAAAGAAAAAAAUGCAAAAAAAGUAAAAAAUUUACAACAAAAUCUACGACGUAAAUAUAAUCAAAUCACCAAACUAAAGGAUACAUUAGAAACUCUGAAAAGAAGAUGUUUAAAUGAAAAUGAUUAAAUGAAGAACAAGUUGACAUGUUAUAUACAUUGAGUGAAUCAAAUGACCUCUUUUCCACAUCCUGUGACCAGUGAAAAAAUCGUAGCUUUUCCAGAUCCUUGUUAUAUAUUAAAAUUAAUACGCAAUAGUUUUGGAGAUUUGGAAAAUAUGAUUGAUAAUGACAACUAACAAAUACGAUGGUCAUAUAUAAAUCAGUUACAUCUUUUACAACAAAAUAAAGGUAUGCACUUAGGUAAUAAGUUACGAAGUGCACAUAUUAAUUAUAUGAAAUAAAAAAUAAAAGUUAGAUUAGCGGCUCAAAUUUUUAGUAAAUCGAUAGCAGAUUCAUUUAUAUUUUGUAAAAAUAAUUUAAUGUUGAAAGAGUUUCAACUUUGCAAAGGAACGAUUAAAUUUUUAUUUGUAUUUAAUAAUUUGUUUGAUAUUUUAAAUUCGAAAAAUAUGAAAUAAAUAGAAUUAUAGCAACCAAUACAUCUACAAAACAUAGAAUCAAUAACAAAAAAAUUAGACGAAUAUAAAGCAUAUAUUUUAACAUUGAAAAUGCCUACGGGACAAUUUUUGAUUAAUAGUCGAAGAAAAAUCGCGGUUUUCUUAUUUGUAUCGAAAGUGUUUUAAUACUAUAUGAAGAACUUUGUAAAAAUAAUCUUAUAAAAUACAUAUUAUUUUCAAAUAAA
This is a long non-coding RNA of Odontomachus brunneus, 914 nucleotides long. RefSeq lists it as uncharacterized. The transcript is spliced from 3 exons. The record is from RefSeq and is a predicted model, not a curated record. Lineage: Eukaryota; Metazoa; Arthropoda; Insecta; Hymenoptera; Formicidae.